GGCUCCUCUUAUCUUCUCAUCAGAUCUUUGUUUCUUCUUUUUUUUUUUUGCUUUUUGGUUAUGUUUUUUCUCGAUUUAGACAAAAACCCUAGACUUGAUUUUCCAAAAGAUCUCUGGAGAUGGAAGAACUGCGAGUGAAUGAGUUGGGACAAAAGAAAAACAUAGCAACUGACAGAAGAGAGUGAGCACACAAAGGUAAUUUGCAUAUACUGCAUUUACUUCUCUUGCGUGCUCACUGCUCUUUCUGUCAGAUUCUAGUGCUGAUCUCUUUGGCCUGUCCUUGUUCUCUUUGUCUCAAUCUCUCUCUCUCUCUCUCUCUCACAUACACAAUCUCUCUACUUCUCUUGUUCAUCUCAAAUAAAGGUAAGCUUAAUAUGCGAUUUAAACGAUGGCUUGUUCCUUGUAUAGAUUUUGGUUCGAUCUGAUUGCAUGCGAGGUGAGAGCUUUAAACUUUCACCAUUCAUUAUACUUUAAUGUAUGGGUAGUAUCGAGAAAGCUUAAUCUAUGAGUUUACGCGUGGUUAAAUGAAAUUAAGCAUGUCAACCUAGUUUUUAAUAGGCUGGUCCUUAAUUUUCUCGAUUCAUGUAUAUAUUAUACUAUCAUUUAUUAGUCCCUUUUCUCGGGGCUUUUUAAUCCCUAGCUCCUACUUUUUAUACUCAGAUACAUAGUAUAUCAUUUGAUUCAUGUGAUCAUCAUAUCAUCUCAUUUUGCGUGUAUAAGAUGUUGCAAGAGUACUCUGGUCAUGAUAUUUGCAUUACAAGAAAGAGUCGCUGGCUUCUUGGUUAUCUAAAUGGUUUGCUCGUACAUUUUGAUUCCACGAAGUAUAAUUAUAUAAUUAUUUUUUAUAGUCUAUACAUUUACCAAAAGAAUAAUUAUGUUGGCAUAUAAUUAGUUGACAUUUUGUAAAUUAAUAUUUGAUUCCAUGUAAUAAUGUUACAUUUGUUGACAUGAAUAUUUUGAGAAUAUUCUUGUGGUGGUUUGUUUUCUUAGAUUAAUUUGAGAACACACUAUUUCUAUGCAAACUAAAAAAGCCUAUAGUGUAUGAAGUUGUUGUGUUGGUUCCACAGUGAUGUGUCAUGUCUUUCCGCUUUUGUACUGUUGAGGCUGUUGAAAAAUACUGUUGUUUGUCGACAAAUAUCAAUACCAGUAAUUAAUUUUCGGUCCUACUGUUACAAUUUCUAUCUUUCGGUUGACUGAUGAGUCGUUGGGCUGAAACCAUGGUGAUACUGGUACCGGUGAGAAUUGUGUGGUCAGAUGUGUGUAUCACAUCGGAAGCGAUCUUUGUAUAUAUUGCAAUCGUUGUGAUGUUUGUGUCUCAAAUGCACAAUAUGUUCUAGCUUUAAUUAGCUAAGUCAGUACUCAAUACUAAUAUUGUUGAAGCAAAUUAAUGGAAAAUAUGAACCAUAUUGUGUAUCGAUUUCUGA
This is a long non-coding RNA of Brassica napus (rape), 1424 nucleotides long. RefSeq lists it as uncharacterized. The record is from RefSeq and is a predicted model, not a curated record. NCBI's taxonomy places the organism in Eukaryota, Viridiplantae, Streptophyta, Magnoliopsida, Brassicales, Brassicaceae. The transcript is spliced from 2 exons.